Molecule: long non-coding RNA, 890 nt
Filed under: Fukomys damarensis (Damara mole-rat)
Lineage: Eukaryota; Metazoa; Chordata; Mammalia; Rodentia; Bathyergidae
Description: lncRNA (ENSFDAG00000032414.1)
Source: RNAcentral
GCUUUCUCCUUCCCUCUGUCUUCCAGUCUUCCACCAGCACUUGCUAUCAGUGCAGCUGAGCUGGCCACCAGGUGGGAAAAGAACUUGGACAUGCAGCAUCCAGGAGCCAGCUUCUCUGUAGCACGGAACAGCGCAGGGGAAAGGGUAGGAACGGAUCCAGGUGCAGACAGGCCCAGCACCAGUACUGCAUCCAUCAGGAAGCUAGAAAAAGAGGUUACGGUACACAUUUCUUAUCUCACAACUCUCGGGGCUGGAAAGCUGAGAUCCAGGUGAGGCAGUGUGGCACGAGAUUGCGGUGUGGCAAACUGGCUGAGAAAGUAGGCAUGACCUGUGAAUAAAGGAGAUCCCGUAAAUGUACAGAAAAACAGUACCCCAAGCCUGGGCCAGAGAAUGCUAUCUUCAGUUCUUCUCCUGAGGACUCAAGCAAGUCUUUGGUAGGACAGCCUAGAUCUGACCUCAGCCUGAGGAAUGGGAGAUAAGAAAAGAUGACCAGCAGCCAGCCAUGGCGCCUGUGCUCUCAUUCACAGUGGUCCACUCAUCCUGUACAAGCUACUUCUUUUCCUAAUUUUAAUCGGCCAGUAUGGUACUUGCUGUGCAGAGCCUGUUUCUUUGCCUGCCUUUAAUAAAUGUAAAACCUCACUACCUUUACCAUUGUUUUGUCCAAUUCUUUGUUCAGGGCAAGAAGAACCUAGAAAGAAUGUCUACAAGAGUCCCCCGCACCUUGUAACAGCAGGGCUCCUCUCUUCUGAGACCUGUCUCCUUGGUUUGUCAGUGGCCAUCUUCUCCCUCAGUCUUCACGUGCUCUUCUCUUAGCUGUGUGUCUGUGUCAUCCGUGGGAACCUUUUCACUGUAACUUGAUUGUUAAUUUAUAUAUCUUAGGCAAGUCUCAC